This 116-nucleotide non-coding RNA is filed under the name Rhodococcus sp. (in: high G+C Gram-positive bacteria). RNAcentral's name for it is "Rhodococcus sp. SAM-IV sequence". It matches the Rfam family "SAM (S-adenosyl methionine) riboswitch aptamer". From Rfam's summary of the family: SAM-IV is a mRNA element that regulates gene expression via direct sensing of S-adenosylmethionine (SAM or AdoMet). Lineage: Bacteria; Bacillati; Actinomycetota; Actinomycetes; Mycobacteriales; Nocardiaceae. The record is from RNAcentral.
GGUCACGAGAACCAGCGACAAGCCCCGGCUAGCUGGUCGGCAACCCUCCUCCGCGGUGGGGUGCUCCGGGUGACGACCAGGCCGUGUUUCCACACCGGACACGGCAAGCGCGGAUU